Molecule: long non-coding RNA, 1681 nt
Organism: Corythoichthys intestinalis (scribbled pipefish)
Lineage: Eukaryota; Metazoa; Chordata; Actinopteri; Syngnathiformes; Syngnathidae
Exons: 3
Source: RefSeq, a predicted model, not a curated record
AGAUGACAGACGUGGGUCUGAAAGUCAGGGAAAUAGCCGACCUAGUAGUCCUACUUGGUGAGAAGUGAGAGAAUAUGCAUUAUCCACCGCUGAAUGUCAAAGCAUGGUGUAAGAGUCUCUGACUUGAAUAAUUCCACUGACAUCGCAACGUUGGAUGCUGGGUGAUUACAGGGAUCCCAGGAUCUCAUCCAAAUUCUGGGUUCAGAAUGAUGCAAGGACAUCUCCGGUUCCGACGUACAAAGGUUCAGAGACUUCGUGUGCAAGAAUCCAUGCCACGUCUGGAUCCACCGGGAAUUGUCCGCACACUACAACUACAAACUGUUCGCCGUAGAAGAUAUUCUGUGCCAGCCCCCAACAGUCAAAGGCAUAGCUAUGGCAACCAUAAAUUCAUAAAUUAAAGCUCUAUAUUGGGGGACUCGGAAGGAAGUACAAAAAUAAAUUAAGACCAUAUUUUUUCACCCAUUUUGGAAAGAUCAACCCAUAUACAGUAUAAUGUAGACCAUUUUAAAUUAAGUUUAAAUAUUUCAUGCUUUUAUUAUUUAUUACGCGCUAGGAAUCUAAUUCAUUUAGAUUUGGAGUACUUUCGCUGCCAGCCUCUCCCAGUCAAAAUGGAUUGGGUGUCUAGCGCUGUCAAUGGCAGCCAAUGAGUUAAAUGUUGAUGUUUAUGGCUUGCAAAAAUAGGAAACCCUAAAAUUUAAUGUCUCAGAAUUAAGAAAAAAAAAUUCUGGGCCCUGCAACACAUUGUCUGUUAUUGCAGAAAUGUUGGUAUAGUUUUAGUUGCCACUUCUGGGAGAUGAUUGGAGGAAAUUUUACCCAUCAAAAUCAAAUGAUGAGGUUUGGCACGCCCUCUUUGCUUGUUGGCUCUUUGAAAAUGGCUUAACAAGUUCAACUUCAAAAAGGGAUUAUGUAAAGUGCACAUUUCUAAUCAAAAACAUACCAUUAAAAAAAAAACAAUAAAAGCAUGAAAUAUCCCUGACCAAAAAAGUUAAAUAAAAUUAUAUAAAUACGAACACUUUCACAGUCUAGGGCUAGGCACAUACAGAUGAGGCUAAUCAAUAACUAAAUUUGCCAUAUACGAUGUGUGCAUGUUUAGUUAUAUUUUAGGACUAGUUGGUUCAACUUUAAAUUACAUAUUUGGGAGUUUUAUGUGAUGGUCCACAUGGUCAUCACCCCGAUGUACCGACAUGGGGGUGAUGACCAUGGGGGUCAGUCCCUGAAGUGCAGCUGCAACAGGCCUCGACUCCUGAAGAAAUUCAGCAGAUGUCAGAAUUUUCUAAUGUAUUGAAUGUCUACAGCGAGACUAUCCAUCCUGCGUCAAAUAUUUGGACUUGUUUUAAAUGACAGCAUAGAAUGUUGGCUGUGGUUGAUGUGACAGUACCUCAGUAAUGUGAAGAAAUAAUAAAGGCAAUGAUUGUUUUUCUGCAAAGUAAUAGUUUAUCGAUGACCAGUGUAAUACAAUACAAAUUAUAAACAGGCAAUUGAUGUACAAAAAAGGACUUCCAGCACAACUAACUCGUUCAUCCAAAAAAAUUGUCCACUGGACACCAACAUGAGCCACUUAAGGUCAGUAACUUUUUCCCCUAAUACUGGCCAACUGCUCACCAUCAGCAUUCCCUGAAAUGUAAAUUUAUUGUGUCUUCGGGGAGCUUUAGGGUACAAAAAAAGCACGUAGAUAAGUGAG